CCUACGGGAGGCAGCAGUGAGGAAUAUUGGUCAAUGGGCGGGAGCCUGAACCAGCCAAGUCGCGUGAGGGACGACGGUCCUAUGGAUUGUAAACCUCUUUUGUCGGGGAACAAAGGCGUCCACGGGUGGGCGGAUGAGUGUACCCGAAGAAAAAGCAUCGGCUAACUCCGUGCCAGCAGCCGCGGUAAUACGGAGGAUCCGAGCGUUAUCCGGAUUUAUUGGGUUUAAAGGGAGCGUAGGUGGAUUGUUAAGUCAGUUGUGAAAGUUUGCGGCUCAACCGUAAAAUUGCAGUUGAAACUGGCAGUCUUGAGUACAGUAGAGGUGGGCGGAAUUCGUGGUGUAGCGGUGAAAUGCUUAGAUAUCACGAAGAACUCCGAUUGCGAAGGCAGCUCACUGGACUGCAACUGACACUGAUGCUCGAAAGUGUGGGUAUCAAACAGGAUUAGAUACCCCAGUAGUC
Molecule: ribosomal RNA, 460 nt
Filed under: uncultured bacterium
Lineage: Bacteria
Description: partial 16S ribosomal RNA
Rfam family: Bacterial small subunit ribosomal RNA
Source: RNAcentral